ACAACAUUUGUGCUUUAUAGUUUACACAGUUUGCACAAACGAUUCCAAAGCAUAUUCGGAAUCUGUCAAGUCAAAAAGUAAUAGUAGUGAAAAUCCUGCGAGAGUUUUCUCAAGUGAAAACUAUUAAAAUGCGACUCUGAUCUAGCAGCCUAGCUGGGGAUUUUCCAAUGUAAAGUCAGCGGUUGCAAUUGGUCUUAAAAUUUAUUGCGCUGGCGCAGCUUCACGAUUCUAUGCUUACGAAACGACUGCUCGCACGAGCCAUACAAAAUGUUUCUCUGAACAUAAAGCUUCUCAGUAGAAGAGUAAUCCAAUGAGCCGAACUACAAAUUACGCUCGAAUGGCUCCGUCGCUUUAACCAUGUGGUCGCUGCUAAUUGAUAAGAUGUUUGUGGAUGGACAAUGACGUUUAAUGACGCCUCCAAAUCGAGAUUUCCAAUUCCCAGUGACUGUAAUGAUGCAUAAAGAGCAGAUAUUUC
This 475-nucleotide small RNA is filed under the name Drosophila yakuba. RNAcentral's name for it is "GE28329". Lineage: Eukaryota; Metazoa; Arthropoda; Insecta; Diptera; Drosophilidae. The record is from RNAcentral.